CAGAGAAUAGUUUAAUUCAGAAUGCUAGCUUUGGGAGUUAGUGGUGGAGGUUUAAGUCCUUCUUUUCUGA
This 70-nucleotide transfer RNA is filed under the name Chromis acares (midget chromis). RNAcentral describes it as "tRNA-Pro". It matches the Rfam family "tRNA". Rfam says of the family: Transfer RNA (tRNA) molecules are approximately 80 nucleotides in length. Their secondary structure includes four short double-helical elements and three loops (D, anti-codon, and T loops). Further hydrogen bonds mediate the characteristic L-shaped molecular structure. tRNAs have two regions of fundamental functional importance: the anti-codon, which is responsible for specific mRNA codon recognition, and the 3' end, to which the tRNAs corresponding amino acid is attached (by aminoacyl-tRNA synthetases). tRNAs cope with the degeneracy of the genetic code in two manners: having more than one tRNA (with a specific anti-codon) for a particular amino acid; and 'wobble' base-pairing, i.e. permitting non-standard base-pairing at the 3rd anti-codon position. Lineage: Eukaryota; Metazoa; Chordata; Actinopteri; Pomacentridae. The record is from RNAcentral.